RNAcentral lists this ribosomal RNA (503 nucleotides) under uncultured bacterium. RNAcentral's name for it is "partial 16S ribosomal RNA". It matches the Rfam family "Bacterial small subunit ribosomal RNA", at positions 30 to 523 of the family's 1533-position model. The record is from RNAcentral.
AUUGAACGCUGGCGGCAGGCUUAACACAUGCAAGUCGAGCGGGGUGAUGGUGCUUGCACUAUCACUUAGCGGCGGACGGGUGAGUAAUGCUUAGGAAUCUGCCUAUUAGUGGGGGACAACAUCUCGAAAGGGAUGCUAAUACCGCAUACGUCCUACGGGAGAAAGCAGGGGAUCACUUGUGACCUUGCGCUAAUAGAUGAGCCUAAGUCGGAUUAGCUAGUUGGUGGGGUAAAGGCCUACCAAGGCGACGAUCUGUAGCGGGUCUGAGAGGAUGAUCCGCCACACUGGGACUGAGACACGGCCCAGACUCCUACGGGAGGCAGCAGUGGGGAAUAUUGGACAAUGGGGGGAACCCUGAUCCAGCCAUGCCGCGUGUGUGAAGAAGGCCUUAUGGUUGUAAAGCACUUUAAGCGAGGAGGAGGCUCUUUUGGUUAAUACCCAAGAUGAGUGGACGUUACUCGCAGAAUAAGCACCGGCUAACUCUGUGCCAGCAGCAGCCGCCG